RNAcentral lists this unclassified non-coding RNA (345 nucleotides) under soil metagenome. RNAcentral's name for it is "partial contains 5.8S ribosomal RNA, internal transcribed spacer 2, and large subunit ribosomal RNA". The stretch from base 1 to 120 matches the Rfam family "5.8S ribosomal RNA", at positions 35 to 154 of the family's 154-position model. The record is from RNAcentral.
GAUGAAGAACGUAGUGAAAUGCGAUAAGUAAUGUGAAUUGCAGAAUUCCGUGAAUCAUCGAAUCUUUGAACGCACAUUGCGCCCUCUGGUAUUCCGGGGGGCAUGCCUGUCCGAGCGUCAUUUGCAACCCUCAAGCCCGGCUUGUGUGAUGGGUGCCGUCCCCUACGGGACGUGCCCCGAAGGCAAUGGCGGCGUCGCGGUUAUCCGAUCAGCCAAAGUGUAUGGGGCUUUGUCACUCACUUUACGGCCCGGACCGGCGCCAGUCCGAAUCAAUCUUUUUUCUAAAGUUGACCUCGGAUCAGGUAGGGAUACCCGCUGAACUUAAGCAUAUCAAUAAGCGGAGGA